This 492-nucleotide ribosomal RNA is filed under the name uncultured bacterium. RNAcentral's name for it is "partial 16S ribosomal RNA". It matches the Rfam family "Bacterial small subunit ribosomal RNA", at positions 29 to 507 of the family's 1533-position model. The record is from RNAcentral.
AGUGAACGCUGGCGGUAGGCCUAACACAUGCAAGUCGAACGGCAGCACAGUAAGAGCUUGCUCUUACGGGUGGCGAGUGGCGGACGGGUGAGGAAUACAUCGGAAUCUACUUUUUCGUGGGGGAUAACGUAGGGAGACUUACGCUAAUACCGCAUACGACCUACGGGUGAAAGCAGGGGAUCUUCGGACCUUGCGCGAUUGAAUGAGCCGAUGUCGGAUUAGCUAGUUGGCGGGGUAAAGGCCCACCAAGGCGACGAUCCGUAGCUGGUCUGAGAGGAUGAUCAGCCACACUGGAACUGAGACACGGUCCAGACUCCUACGGGAGGCAGCAGUGGGGAAUAUUGGACAAAGGGCGCAAGCCUGAUCCAGCCAUACCGCGUGGGUGAAGAAGGCCUUCGGGUUGUAAAGCCCUUUUGUUGGGAAAGAGAAGCAGCAGGUUAAUACCCCGCUGUUCUGACGGUACCCAAAGAAUAAGCACCGGCUAACUUCGUG